This 2985-nucleotide ribosomal RNA is filed under the name Salmonella enterica. RNAcentral describes it as "bacterial LSU rRNA". It matches the Rfam family "Bacterial large subunit ribosomal RNA". Lineage: Bacteria; Pseudomonadati; Pseudomonadota; Gammaproteobacteria; Enterobacterales; Enterobacteriaceae. The record is from RNAcentral.
UUAAGCGACCAAGCGUACACGGUGGAUGCCCUGGCAGUCAGAGGCGAUGAAGGACGUGCUAAUCUGCGAAAAGCGCCGGUAAGGUGAUAUGAACCGUUAUAACCGGCGAUGUCCGAAUGGGGAAACCCAGUGUGAUUCGUCACACUAUCAUUAACUGAAUCCAUAGGUUAAUGAGGCGAACCGGGGGAACUGAAACAUCUAAGUACCCCGAGGAAAAGAAAUCAACCGAGAUUCCCCCAGUAGCGGCGAGCGAACGGGGAGGAGCCCAGAGCCUGAAUCAGCAUGUGUGUUAGUGGAAGCGUCUGGAAAGGCGCGCGAUACAGGGUGACAGCCCCGUACACAAAAGCGCAUGUGCUGUGAGCUCGAUGAGUAGGGCGGGACACGUGGUAUCCUGUCUGAAUAUGGGGGGACCAUCCUCCAAGGCUAAAUACUCCUGACUGACCGAUAGUGAACCAGUACCGUGAGGGAAAGGCGAAAAGAACCCCGGCGAGGGGAGUGAAAAAGAACCUGAAACCGUGUACGUACAAGCAGUGGGAGCACAGGUUUACCUGUGUGACUGCGUACCUUUUGUAUAAUGGGUCAGCGACUUAUAUUCUGUAGCAAGGUUAACCGAAUAGGGGAGCCGGAGGGAAACCGAGUCUUAACCGGGCGUUAAGUUGCAGGGUAUAGACCCGAAACCCGGUGAUCUAGCCAUGGGCAGGUUGAAGGUUGGGUAACACUAACUGGAGGACCGAACCGACUAAUGUUGAAAAAUUAGCGGAUGACCUGUGGCUGGGGGUGAAAGGCCAAUCAAACCGGGAGAUAGCUGGUUCUCCCCGAAAGCUAUUUAGGUAGCGCCUCGUGAAUUCAUCUCCGGGGGUAGAGCACUGUUUCGGCCAGGGGGCCAUCCCGGCUUACCAAUCCGAUGCAAACUGCGAAUACCGGAGAAUGUUAUCACGGGAGACACACGGCGGGUGCUAACGUCCGUCGUGAAGAGGGAAACAACCCAGACCGCCAGCUAAGGUCCCAAAGUCAUGGUUAAGUGGGAAACGAUGUGGGAAGGCCCAGACAGCCAGGAUGUUGGCUUAGAAGCAGCCAUCAUUUAAAGAAAGCGUAAUAGCUCACUGGUCGAGUCGGCCUGCGCGGAAGAUGUAACGGGGCUAAACCAUGCACCGAAGCUGCGGCAGCGAACGUAUCACUUAAAGCGAUUCAGCGGAUGACGAUUGACGGAGCGAAGCGACGUCAAAGCGUUUUACAAAGUCGAGUCGGUUUAAGGAUACGUUCGUUGGGUAGGGGAGCGUUCUGUAAGCCUGCGAAGGUGGCCUGUGAGGGUUGCUGGAGGUAUCAGAAGUGCGAAUGCUGACAUAAGUAACGAUAAUGCGGGUGAAAAACCCGCACGCCGGAAGACCAAGGGUUCCUGUCCAACGUUAAUCGGGGCAGGGUGAGUCGACCCCUAAGGCGAGGCCGAAAGGCGUAGUCGAUGGGAAACAGGUUAAUAUUCCUGUACCUGGUGUUACUGCGAAGGGGGGACGGAGAAGGCUAUGUUGGCCGGGCGACGGUUGUCCCGGUUUAAGCGUGCAGGCUGGUUUUCCAGGCAAAUCCGGAAAAUCAAGGCUGAGGCGUGACGACGAGGCACUACGGUGCUGAAGCAACAAAUGCCCUGCUUCCAGGAAAAGCCUCUAAGCCUCAGGUAACAUCAGAUCGUACCCGAAACCGACACAGGUGGUCAGGUAGAGAAUACCAAGGCGCUUGAGAGAACCCGGGUGAAGGAACUAGGCAAAAUGGUGCCGUAACUUCGGGAGAAGGCACGCUGACACGUAGGUGAAGUGAUUUACUCAUGGAGCUGAAGUCAGUCGAAGAUACCAGCUGGCUGCAACUGUUUAUUAAAAACACAGCACUGUGCAAACACGAAAGUGGACGUAUACGGUGUGACGCCUGCCCGGUGCCGGAAGGUUAAUUGAUGGGGUCAGCGCAAGCGAAGCUCCUGAUCGAAGCCCCGGUAAACGGCGGCCGUAACUAUAACGGUCCUAAGGUAGCGAAAUUCCUUGUCGGGUAAGUUCCGACCUGCACGAAUGGCGUAAUGAUGGCCAGGCUGUCUCCACCCGGGACUCAGUGAAAUUGAACUCGCUGUGAAGAUGCAGUGUACCCGCGGCAAGACGGAAAGACCCCGUGAACCUUUACUAUAGCUUGACACUGAACACUGGUCCUUGAUGUGCAGGAUAGGUGGGAGGCUUUGAAGUGUGGACGCCAGUCUGCAUGGAGCCGUCCUUGAAAUACCACCCUUUAAUGGCUGGUGUUCUAACGUAGACCCGUGAACCGGGUUGCGGACAGUGUCUGGUGGGUAGUUUGACUGGGGCGGUCUCCUCCUAAAGCGUAACGGAGGAGCACGAAGGUUGGCUAAUCCUGGUCGGACAUCAGGAGGUUAGUGCAAUGGCAUAAGCCAGCUUGACUGCGAGCGUGACGGCGCGAGCAGGUGCGAAAGCAGGUCAUAGUGAUCCGGUGGUUCUGAAUGGAAGGGCCAUCGCUCAACGGAUAAAAGGUACUCCGGGGAUAACAGGCUGAUACCGCCCAAGAGUUCAUAUCGACGGCGGUGUUUGGCACCUCGAUGUCGGCUCAUCACAUCCUGGGGCUGAAGUAGGUCCCAAGGGUAUGGCUGUUCGCCAUUUAAAGUGGUACGCGAGCUGGGUUUAGAACGUCGUGAGACAGUUCGGUCCCUAUCUGCCGUGGGCGCUGGAGAACUGAGGGGGGCUGCUCCUAGUACGAGAGGACCGGAGUGGACGCAUCACUGGUGUUCGGGUUGUCAUGCCAAUGGCACUGCCCGGUAGCUAAAUGCGGAAGAGAUAAGUGCUGAAAGCAUCUAAGCACGAAACUUGCCCCGAGAUGAGUUCUCCCUGAGACUUUAGUCUCCUGAAGGAACGUUGAAGACGACGACGUUGAUAGGCCGGGUGUGUAAGCGCAGCGAUGCGUUGAGCUAACCGGUACUAAUGAACCGUGAGGCUUAACCUU